UUCCUCGCCCUCCCCCUCCUCCCCGGCUCCCUAGACCAUCUGCUCACCUGGCACCCAGGGGUCACCUUGUCCUCUGACACCAAUUGCUGUCCUGCUGAUGCCCUAAACCAGAAGGGUCUGUCCCCGGGCCCAGGCCCACACUCUGGGACCAAAGGGCCCCGUCUGAGGGUUGGGGGCCCCCUCCGUCCUGGCACAGGUGACCCUGGAAUUCACCCCUCCUGCAGUGCGCCCCCAGCACGGAGGCUUGCCUCUGUGCCACCCUGGAAGGUGCCCCCAGCUCCCCAGCAGCCCCGUCUGCACCCUGGUCCGGGUCUCCAGGGUCCUUACCCGCUGCCUCCUAUGGGUCCUGGACCCCGGGGGACAAUUGGUGCGAGGUGUCCCCAGGCCUCUGAAGACCCAGCUCUGCCUUCUCCCCUGGGGCCCCAGGAAGGUUCUCGCUGGCCGGGGUCUCACUGCCAGGGAGUCUCUAAGAAAGGCUGAGGUCUCAAGGCCCGUUGUGUGGCAGGUUCUCCCGGGAGAAGCAUGUACCUUGCAUCUGUGCGUGAGCUCCUCCCCAGUUCCGACCUUGGCUUCUGCUGCGCCUUCUGGAACAUUUCUGCCUCGGUUCAAGGGCUUCCCUCCAGAAACACCUUCCGCUGGGUGGCCUUUGCGCUGCACACCGUUCCGUUCCCAGGCUGCUUGUCCCUCCGUCCCCGCUGCGUCCCCAGGGGCCACGCUGGGGUGUCCCUGCGGUGAGAUUCCCCUGGCGGCUCCUUGGGAGCAGGCGGGGGUCUGAGCAACCCCCUCCCGUCCGUCCUCUGGAUGCCCUUUGCUCGUUCCUUCCCGGGCUGGGCGCUUGGUCUGUCCCCGCAGCUGCCCACUCGCUUUCCUGUGCUCUCUGGCCCGCUCCCUCCCUGCCUGCCUCCUCUCCCCUUGCACCCCACUCCACCCCUUCUCUGGGCACUGCUCCCCUCUGAGCCUCCUGCUCCGACGUAGUUCAGUCCCCCCUUCGGGGACACGGCUGCCUGCUGCCCCGGCCCCCAGCCCGGGACCCCCUGGGACCUGCUGUGCAGCCCGCUGCGCUCUGCACGAAGCUCAGCUGGGCAUCCGGGAGCCGGAGACGGGGUGCUGCUCCCUGACCCCAGCCCUAGGGCCGGGCUCCCCAGGACAGAGGACAGCCCCACAUCAGCUGCCCGGGAGCAGAGGCCUCCCUGCCCCUCCGCACGCUUCGCAUCACUGCCGGCCAAGGUGCUACAGCCGCUGGACCUGGGCCCCGGUGACAGUCACACCCAGGUCCUCACUUCCAAGAUGAACAAGAAACGAAGGAACAAUGGUCGUGCAAAAAGGUCCGGGGCCACAGCAGCCCGUUCACUACACCAGCUACACCCCUGUUCCCUGCCGAGGCCAGUAAGAAGUUCCUUACUCAGGGUGCCCAGGGCGGGGGGCUCAGUCGGGUCAG
This is a long non-coding RNA of Hyaena hyaena (striped hyena), 1438 nucleotides long. RefSeq lists it as uncharacterized. The record is from RefSeq and is a predicted model, not a curated record. The transcript is spliced from 3 exons. Lineage: Eukaryota; Metazoa; Chordata; Mammalia; Carnivora; Hyaenidae.